GCAUGACUAGAUUAUGAAAGAUUUAUCGCUUAUGGAUGGACUCGCGUCAGAUUAGAUAGUUGGUGAGGUAACGGCUCACCAAGUCAACGAUCUGUAGCCGAACUGAGAGGUUGAUCGGCCGCAUUGGGACUGAGACACGGCCCAGACUCCUACGGGAGGCAGCAGUGGGGAAUAUUGCGCAAUGGGGGCAACCCUGACGCAGCAACGCCGCGUGCAGGAAGAAGGUCUUCGGAUUGUAAACUGUUGUCGCAAGGGAAGAAGACAGUGACGGUACCUUGUGAGAAAGUCACGGCUAACUACGUGCCAGCAGCCGCGGUAAUACGUAGGUGACAAGCGUUGUCCGGAUUUACUGGGUGUAAAGGGCGCGUAGGCGGACUGUCAAGUCAGUCGUGAAAUACCGGGGCUUAACCCCGGGGCUGCGAUUGAAACUGACAGCCUUGAGUAUCGGAGAGGAAAGCGGAAUUCCUAGUGUAGCGGUGAAAUGCGUAGAUAUUAGGAGGAACACCAGUGGCGAAGGCGGCUUUCUGGACGACAACUGACGCUGAGGCGCGAAAGUGUGGGGAGCAAACAGGAUUAGAUACCCUGGUAGUCCACACCGUA
Molecule: ribosomal RNA, 600 nt
Filed under: uncultured bacterium
Lineage: Bacteria
Description: bacterial SSU rRNA
Rfam family: Bacterial small subunit ribosomal RNA
Source: RNAcentral